AUCAUUUAGAGGAAGGAGAAGUUGUAACAAGAUUUCUAUAGGUGAACCUACAAAGGAUCAUUGUCGAU
RNAcentral lists this ribosomal RNA (68 nucleotides) under Brachystegia laurentii. Its description in RNAcentral is "partial 18S ribosomal RNA". The record is from RNAcentral. Lineage: Eukaryota; Viridiplantae; Streptophyta; Magnoliopsida; Fabales; Fabaceae.